RNAcentral lists this ribosomal RNA (460 nucleotides) under uncultured bacterium. RNAcentral describes it as "partial 16S ribosomal RNA". It matches the Rfam family "Bacterial small subunit ribosomal RNA", at positions 338 to 795 of the family's 1533-position model. The record is from RNAcentral.
CCUACGGGUGGCAGCAGUGAGGAAUAUUGGUCAAUGGACGAGAGUCUGAACCAGCCAAGUAGCGUGAAGGAUGACUGCCCAAUGGGUCGUAAACUUCUUUUAUAUGGGAAUAAAAUGUUCCACGUGUGGGGUUUUGUAUGUACCAGAUGAAUAAGGAUCGGCUAACUCCGUGCCAGCAGCCGCGGUAAUACGGAGGAUCCGAGCGUUAUCCGGAUUUAUUGGGUUUAAAGGGAGCGUAGGUGGAUUGUUAAGUCAGUUGUGAAAGUUUGCGGCUCAACCGUAAAAGUGCAGUUGAAACUGGCAGUCUUGAGUACAGUAGAGGUGGGCGGAAUUCGUGGUGUAGCGGUGAAAUGCAUAGAUAUCGCGAAGAACUCCGAUUGCGAAGGCAGCUCACUGGACCGCAACUGACACUGAGGCUCGAAAGUGUGGGUAUCAAACAGGAUUAGAUACCCUUGUAGUC